AGUUGAUCCUGGCUUAGGACGAACGCUGGCGGCACGCCUAACACAUGCAAGUCGAACGGAGAUUGAGAGCUUGCUCUUAAAUCUAGUGGCGGACGGGUGAGUAACACGUAAGCAACCUGCCUCUGAGAGAGGGAUAGCUUCUGGAAACGGAUGGUAAUACCUCAUAACAUUACAUGACCGCAUGAUCGUGUAAUCAAAGAUUUAUCACUCAGAGAUGGGCUCGCGUCUGAUUAGCUAGUUGGUGAGGUAACGGCCCACCAAGGCGACGAUCAGUAGCCGGACUGAGAGGUUGAACGGCCACAUUGGGACUGAGACACGGCCCAGACUCCUACGGGAGGCAGCAGUGAGGGAUAUUGCACAAUGGAGGAAACUCUGAUGCAGCGAUGCCGCGUGGAGGAAGAAGGUUUUCGGAUUGUAAACUCCUGUUUCGAGGGACGAUAAUGACGGUACCUCGGGAGGAAGCUCCGGCUAACUACGUGCCAGCCGCGGC
This 490-nucleotide ribosomal RNA is filed under the name uncultured bacterium. RNAcentral describes it as "bacterial SSU rRNA". It matches the Rfam family "Bacterial small subunit ribosomal RNA", at positions 10 to 518 of the family's 1533-position model. The record is from RNAcentral.